RNAcentral lists this ribosomal RNA (329 nucleotides) under uncultured bacterium. Its description in RNAcentral is "bacterial SSU rRNA". It matches the Rfam family "Bacterial small subunit ribosomal RNA", at positions 28 to 353 of the family's 1533-position model. The record is from RNAcentral.
GACGAACGCUGGCGGCGUGCUUAACACAUGCAAGUCGAGCGGUAAGGCCCUUUCGGGGUACGACGAGCGGCGAACGGGUGAGUAACACGUGGGUGACCUGCCCUCCAGCUCUGGGAGUAAGCCUGGGAAACCGGGGUACUAAUACCGGAUAUGACUCCAUGACGCAUGUUGUGGGGUGGAAAGCCUUGUGCGGCUGAGGAUGGGCCCGCGGCCUAUCAGCUUGUUGGUGGGGUGAUGGCCUACCAAGGCGACGACGGGUAGCCGGCCUGAGAGGGCGACCGGCCACACUGGGACUGAGACACGGCCCAGACUCCUACGGGAGGGCAGCA